CAUAGGUUAAUGAGGCGAACCGGGGGAACUGAAACAUCUAAGUACCCCGAGGAAAAGAAAUCAACCGAGAUUCCCCCAGUAGCGGCGAGCGAACGGGGAGGAGCCCAGAGCCUGAAUCAGUGUGUGUGUUAGUGGAAGCGUCUGGAAAGGCGCGCGAUACAGGGUGACAGCCCCGUACACAAAAAUGCACAUGCUGUGAGCUCGAUGAGUAGGGCGGGACACGUGGUAUCCUGUCUGAAUAUGGGGGGACCAUCCUCCAAGGCUAAAUACUCCUGACUGACCGAUAGUGAACCAGUACCGUGAGGGAAAGGCGAAAAGAACCCCGGCGAGGGGAGUGAAAAAGAACCUGAAACCGUGUACGUACAAGCAGUGGGAGCACAGAGCAAUCUGUGUGACUGCGUACCUUUUGUAUAAUGGGUCAGCGACUUAUAUUCUGUAGCAAGGUUAACCGAAUAGGGGAGCCGAAGGGAAACCGAGUCUUAACUGGGCGUUAAGUUGCAGGGUAUAGACCCGAAACCCGGUGAUCUAGCCAUGGGCAGGUUGAAGGUUGGGUAACACUAACUGGAGGACCGAACCGACUAAUGUUGAAAAAUUAGCGGAUGACUUGUGGCUGGGGGUGAAAGGCCAAUCAAACCGGGAGAUAGCUGGUUCUCCCCGAAAGCUAUUUAGGUAGCGCCUCGUGAAUUCAUCUCCGGGGGUAGAGCACUGUUUCGGCAAGGGGGUCAUCCCGACUUACCAACCCGAUGCAAACUGCGAAUACCGGAGAAUGUUAUCACGGGAGACACACGGCGGGUGCUAACGUCCGUCGUGAAGAGGGAAACAACCCAGACCGCCAGCUAAGGUCCCAAAGUCAUGGUUAAGUGGGAAACGAUGUGGGAAGGCCCAGACAGCCAGGAUGUUGGCUUAGAAGCAGCCAUCAUUUAAAGAAAGCGUAAUAGCUCACUGGUCGAGUCGGCCUGCGCGGAAGAUGUAACGGGGCUAAACCAUGCACCGAAGCUGCGGCAGCGACACUGUGUGUUGUUGGGUAGGGGAGCGUUCUGUAAGCCUGUGAAGGUGUGCUGUGAGGCAUGCUGGAGGUAUCAGAAGUGCGAAUGCUGACAUAAGUAACGAUAAAGCGGGUGAAAAGCCCGCUCGCCGGAAGACCAAGGGUUCCUGUCCAACGUUAAUCGGGGCAGGGUGAGUCGACCCCUAAGGCGAGGCCGAAAGGCGUAGUCGAUGGGAAACAGGUUAAUAUUCCUGUACUUGGUGUUACUGCGAAGGGGGGACGGAGAAGGCUAUGUUGGCCGGGCGACGGUUGUCCCGGUUUAAGCGUGUAGGCUGGUUUUCCAGGCAAAUCCGGAAAAUCAAGGCUGAGGCGUGAUGACGAGGCACUACGGUGCUGAAGCAACAAAUGCCCUGCUUCCAGGAAAAGCCUCUAAGCAUCAGGUAACAUCAAAUCGUACCCCAAACCGACACAGGUGGUCAGGUAGAGAAUACCAAGGCGCUUGAGAGAACUCGGGUGAAGGAACUAGGCAAAAUGGUGCCGUAACUUCGGGAGAAGGCACGCUGAUAUGUAGGUGAAGUCCCUCGCGGAUGGAGCUGAAAUCAGUCGAAGAUACCAGCUGGCUGCAACUGUUUAUUAAAAACACAGCACUGUGCAAACACGAAAGUGGACGUAUACGGUGUGACGCCUGCCCGGUGCCGGAAGGUUAAUUGAUGGGGUCAGCGCAAGCGAAGCUCUUGAUCGAAGCCCCGGUAAACGGCGGCCGUAACUAUAACGGUCCUAAGGUAGCGAAAUUCCUUGUCGGGUAAGUUCCGACCUGCACGAAUGGCGUAAUGAUGGCCAGGCUGUCUCCACCCGAGACUCAGUGAAAUUGAACUCGCUGUGAAGAUGCAGUGUACCCGCGGCAAGACGGAAAGACCCCGUGAACCUUUACUAUAGCUUGACACUGAACAUUGAGCCUUGAUGUGUAGGAUAGGUGGGAGGCUUUGAAGUGUGGACGCCAGUCUGCAUGGAGCCGACCUUGAAAUACCACCCUUUAAUGUUUGAUGUUCUAACGUGGACCCGUGAUCCGGGUUGCGGACAGUGUCUGGUGGGUAGUUUGACUGGGGCGGUCUCCUCCUAAAGAGUAACGGAGGAGCACGAAGGUUGGCUA
RNAcentral lists this ribosomal RNA (2135 nucleotides) under Escherichia coli. Its description in RNAcentral is "partial 23S ribosomal RNA". It matches the Rfam family "Bacterial large subunit ribosomal RNA", at positions 165 to 2323 of the family's 2925-position model. The record is from RNAcentral. Lineage: Bacteria; Pseudomonadati; Pseudomonadota; Gammaproteobacteria; Enterobacterales; Enterobacteriaceae.